This 253-nucleotide ribosomal RNA is filed under the name uncultured bacterium. Its description in RNAcentral is "partial 16S ribosomal RNA". It matches the Rfam family "Bacterial small subunit ribosomal RNA", at positions 524 to 776 of the family's 1533-position model. The record is from RNAcentral.
UACGGAGGUGGCAAGCGUUGUUCGGAAUUACUGGGCGUAAAGGGCGCGUAGGCGGCCGCCUAAGUCAGACGUGAAAUCCCCAGGCUUAACUUGGGAACUGCGUCUGAUACUGGGUAGCUUGAGUUCGGGAGAGGAAUGUGGAAUUCCAGGUGUAGCGGUGAAAUGCGUAGAUAUCUGGAGGAACACCGGUGGCGAAGGCGGCAUUCUGGACCGAAACUGACGCUGAGGAGCGAAAGCCAGGGGAGCAAACGGG